UGCCUUCAGUGUUGCCCAUUCAUCUUGGUUGCUAAUGAAUGUGGUGUCAGAGAAGGCAUAAAACAAGUUUUCCACUUUUGCAGUUUUUGCUGCCCUAGGAAUUGUUUUGUUUGCACUGGGUUUGCUGCAGUGGGACAACA
This 140-nucleotide small nucleolar RNA is filed under the name Pogona vitticeps (central bearded dragon). RNAcentral describes it as "Small nucleolar RNA SNORA13 (ENSPVIG00000010944.1)". It matches the Rfam family "Small nucleolar RNA SNORA13". From Rfam's summary of the family: ACA13 is a member of the H/ACA class of snoRNA that guide the sites of modification of uridines to pseudouridines. Lineage: Eukaryota; Metazoa; Chordata; Lepidosauria; Squamata; Agamidae. The record is from RNAcentral.